This 253-nucleotide ribosomal RNA is filed under the name uncultured bacterium. RNAcentral's name for it is "partial 16S ribosomal RNA". It matches the Rfam family "Bacterial small subunit ribosomal RNA", at positions 524 to 776 of the family's 1533-position model. The record is from RNAcentral.
UACGAAGGGGGCUAGCAUUGUUCGGAAUCACUGGGCGUAAAGGGCGCGUAGGCGGCUUUAUAAGUCGGGGGUGAAAGCCUGUGGCUCAACCACAGAAUUGCCUUCGAUACUGUAGAGCUUGAGACCGGAAGAGGUAAGUGGAACUGCGAGUGUAGAGGUGAAAUUCGUAGAUAUUCGCAAGAACACCAGUGGCGAAGGCGGCUUACUGGUCCGGUUCUGACGCUGAGGCGCGAAAGCUAGGGGAGCAAACGGG